AGUGAACGCUGGCGGUAGGCCUAACACAUGCAAGUCGAACGGCAGCACAGAGGAGCUUGCUCCUUGGGUGGCGAGUGGCGGACGGGUGAGGAAUACAUCGGAAUCUACUCUGUCGUGGGGGAUAACGUAGGGAAACUUACGCUAAUACCGCAUACGACCUACGGGUGAAAGCAGGGGACCUUCGGGCCUUGCGCGAUUGAAUGAGCCGAUGUCGGAUUAGCUAGUUGGCGGGGUAAAGGCCCACCAAGGCGACGAUCCGUAGCUGGUCUGAGAGGAUGAUCAGCCACACUGGAACUGAGACACGGUCCAGACUCCUACGGGAGGAAGCAGUGGGGAAUAUUGGACAAUGGGCGCAAGCCUGAUCCAGCCAUACCGCGUGGGUGAAGAAGGCCUUCGGGUUGUAAAGCCCUUUUGUUGGGAAAGAAAUCCAGCUGGCUAAUACCCGGUUGGGAUGACGGUACCCAAAGAAUAAGCACCGGCUAACUUCGUGCCAGCCGCCGUAAAAC
RNAcentral lists this ribosomal RNA (506 nucleotides) under uncultured bacterium. Its description in RNAcentral is "partial 16S ribosomal RNA". It matches the Rfam family "Bacterial small subunit ribosomal RNA", at positions 29 to 526 of the family's 1533-position model. The record is from RNAcentral.